This 1888-nucleotide ribosomal RNA is filed under the name seawater metagenome. RNAcentral's name for it is "bacterial LSU rRNA". It matches the Rfam family "Bacterial large subunit ribosomal RNA", at positions 496 to 2485 of the family's 2925-position model. The record is from RNAcentral.
UAGUACCGUGAGGGAAAGGUGAAAAGAACCCCUAUUAGGGGAGUGAAAUAGAUCCUGAAACUGUAUGCUUACAAACUGUCGAAGCCCCAUGUGGGUGACGACGUACCUUUUGUAUAAUGGGUCAGUGACUUAAUUUAUGUAGCAAGCUUAAGCCGUUUAGGUGUAGGCGUAGCGAAAGCGAGUCUUAAUAGGGCGAUUAGUUACAUGGAUUAGAACCCGAAACCGAGUGAUCUAGCUAUGAGCAGGUUGAAGGCAAGGUAAUACUUGCUGGAGGACCGAACCAGUUGACGUUGAAAAGUCUUUGGAUGACUUGUUGCUAGGGGUGAAAGGCCAAUCAAACUCGGAGAUAGCUGGUUUUCCGCGAAAACUAUUUAGGUAGUGCGUUGAGAUAUAGAUUUUGAGGGGUAGAGCACUAAAUAGGCUAGGGGGAAGAAAUUCUUACUAAACCUAAUAAAACUCCGAAUACUCAAAAUUGUUCCUCAGCAGACAGACGGUGAAUGCUAACGUCCAUCGUCGAGAGGGAAACAACCCAGACCACCAAUUAAGGUCCCCAAGUUAUGGUUAAGUGUGAAAGGAUGUGAAGACUCCAAAACAGCCGGGAGGUUGGCUUAGAAGCAGCCAUCCUUUAAAGAUAGCGUAACAGCUCACCGGUCUAAUUAAGAGACUUUGCGCCUAAGAUGUAACGGGGCUCAAACCAUACACCGAAAUUGUGGAUUGAUAGAAGUCUUCGGACUUUUAUUUCUGGUAGCGGAACGUUCUGUAAGCCUGUGAAGAGAGACCCGUGAGGGCUCUUGGAGGUAUCAGAAGUGCGAAUGCUGACAUAAGUAACGACAAACAGAGUGAAAGACUCUGUCGCCGAGAGUACAAGGGUUCCUGCGUAAAGUUAAUCUUCGCAGGGUUAGCCGGCCCCUAAGACGAGGACGAAAGUCGUAGUCGAUGGGAAUCAGGUAAAUAUUCCUGAGCCAGGUGGUAGUGACGGAUCAUGUAAAUUGUUAACUCUUAUUGGAUUGAGUUGGCUGUGAAGUGGUCCCAGGAAAUAGCUCCAUCAUAAGACCGUACCCCAAACGGACACACGUGUACCGGUAGAGUAUACCUAGGCGCUUGAGAGAAUGAUGUUGAAGGAACUCGGCAAAAUGCUUCCGUAACUUCGGGAUAAGGAAGACCCAAUAAUGGGCAACCAUAUUUGGGUGGCACAAGCCAGGGAGAAGCGACUGUUUAUCAAAAACACAGCACUCUGCUAACACGUAAGUGGAUGUAUAGGGUGUGACGCCUGCCCGGUGCUGGAAGGUUAAAGGGAGAUGUGCAAGCAUCAAACUGAAGCCCCAGUGAACGGCGGCCGUAACUAUAACGGUCCUAAGGUAGCGAAAUUCCUUGUCGGGUAAGUUCCGACCUGCAUGAAUGGCGUAACGAUUUCUCCGCUGUCUCCAACAUCAACUCAGUGAAAUUGAAUUCUCCGUGAAGAUGCGGAGUUCCCGUGGUUAGACGGAAAGACCCCGUGCACCUUUACUAUAACUUUACAUUGGUAUUAGAAAUGACAUGUGUAGCAUAGGAGGGAGACUUUGAAGUGAUGGCGCCAGCCGUCAUGGAGUCUUUAGUGAAAUACCUCUCUUGUUAUUUUUGAUAUCUAACUGCAUGCCAUUAUCUGGCUGCAAGACACUGUAUGGUGGGUAGUUUGACUGGGGCGGUCGCCUCCUAAAGAGUAACGGAGGCGUGCGAAGGUUGGCUCAGACCGGUCAGAAAUCGGUCGUUGAGUGCAAUGGCAUAAGCCAGCCUGACUGCAAGACUGACAAGUCGAGCAGAGACGAAAGUCGGUCAUAGUGAUCCGGUGGUUCUGAGUGGAAGGGCCAUCGCUCAACGGAUAAAAGGUACGCCGGGGAUAACAGGCUGA